This 189-nucleotide RNase P RNA is filed under the name Accumulibacter sp. Its description in RNAcentral is "partial RNase P RNA component class A". It matches the Rfam family "Bacterial RNase P class A", at positions 1 to 169 of the family's 367-position model. Rfam says of the family: Ribonuclease P (RNase P) is a ubiquitous endoribonuclease, found in archaea, bacteria and eukarya as well as chloroplasts and mitochondria. Its best characterised activity is the generation of mature 5'-ends of tRNAs by cleaving the 5'-leader elements of precursor-tRNAs. Lineage: Bacteria; Pseudomonadati; Pseudomonadota; Betaproteobacteria. The record is from RNAcentral.
GAAGUCGGUCAGGCAGCCGCUGGGCAAAAGGUGAAAGCCUGGCGCCGAGAGGAAAGUCCGGGCUCCAAAGAGCAGGAUGCCGGUUAACGACCGGGCACCGUGAGGUGACGGAAAGUGCAACAGAAAGCAGACCGCCGAUGUCCUCGCGCAGGCGACUGCCAGGGCAGGCAAGGGUGAAACGGCGAGGUA